Molecule: ribosomal RNA, 253 nt
Filed under: uncultured bacterium
Lineage: Bacteria
Description: partial 16S ribosomal RNA
Rfam family: Bacterial small subunit ribosomal RNA
Source: RNAcentral
UACGUAGGGUGCGAGCGUUGUCCGGAAUUAUUGGGCGUAAAGGGCUCGUAGGCGGUUUGUCGCGUCGGGAGUGAAAACACCGGGCUUAACUCGGUGCUUGCUUUCGAUACGGGCAGACUAGAGGCAUGCAGGGGAGAACGGAAUUCCUGGUGUAGCGGUGAAAUGCGCAGAUAUCAGGAGGAACACCGGUGGCGAAGGCGGUUCUCUGGGCAUGUCCUGACGCUGAUGCGCGACAGCGUGGGGAGCAAACAGG